This 253-nucleotide ribosomal RNA is filed under the name uncultured bacterium. Its description in RNAcentral is "partial 16S ribosomal RNA". It matches the Rfam family "Bacterial small subunit ribosomal RNA", at positions 524 to 776 of the family's 1533-position model. The record is from RNAcentral.
UACGGAGGAUCCGAGCGUUAUCCGGAUUUAUUGGGUUUAAAGGGAGCGUAGGCGGGUUGUUAAGUCAGUUGUGAAAGUUUGCGGCUCAACCGUAAAAUUGCAGUUGAUACUGGCAUCCUUGAGUACAGUAGAGGUAGGCGGAAUUCGUGGUGUAGCGGUGAAAUGCUUAGAUAUCACGAAGAACUCCGAUUGCGAAGGCAGCCUGCUGGACUGUAACUGACGCUGAUGUUCGAAAGUGUGGGUAUCAAACAGG